Molecule: long non-coding RNA, 5370 nt
Filed under: Jatropha curcas
Lineage: Eukaryota; Viridiplantae; Streptophyta; Magnoliopsida; Malpighiales; Euphorbiaceae
Description: long non-coding RNA (JCUR_LNC003006)
Source: RNAcentral
AGGUAAAUAGUUAAACUUUUUUGUCAUUCAAUCUUGUGAUCUAAUUGGUUUUCUCAUUAAUACGGAGGGUGGGAAGUAUCGAGUUUGAGUUCUCUUCAAUCCCAUAACGGCGAAUACGGUAACAUUAAUGAAUUGAUGCAGGGAAUUUCUCUUGGAAUGUGCUGAAAAAUUUGGAGUAGAGGGGGCUGCAGAAUUCCUUCAAGAUCCAAAUCAUGGUGUGAAGGAGGUAUAUGAGGACCUCCACAAGUACUCAGCAGGCCUCACAGGAGUCCCAAACUAUGUGGUAUGCAAUAAAAUACCCAUUAUUUAUAUUUUUAUUGUUUAAUCAUUAUAAUAAUCCAUAUUAAUUUUUUCUUUUUCUUCCUCUGAAUAGAUCAAUGGAAAGAAGAAGUUGAAUGGAGCCCAGCCUCCAGAGGUUUUCCUCAGAGCUUUUGAAGCUGCAGCAAAUUAAUAGUUUACAUUAUAUAAGCUGGAAGAGGCAACAAUAAAUCAAGAGUUCAACUUUCCCUCAUGCAUUUGUGUAAUGUUUUAUUAUUUUUAAUUAUUUUUCUUGUGUAAUAUUGGAACAUAACUGUCAUAUGCAUUUUUCCUGCAGUGGAUAUGUUCAAAUUGGAAUGGUUUGAGGAUUUGUGUGGAAAUUUAAAAAUAUAUUUCUUCUUUCAAUAUAACUUUCUGAUCUUCACUAUUUAUCUUCACUACCUAACACCCCGUUUAUGGGCUUUAUCUCGUACACCAAACUAAUAAAAUAAACUUUUAACAAGAAUAUUUUUUUACAAUCACUAAGAAAAAAAAUAAUAAAACAAAAAUAAUAAUUAAAAAAAUCUUUAAUUGGCGUGUUCUAUGAAAUCACUUAUAUUAUACACCUAUCGACAAAUCUUAUCAUAUCGACAUAUCAAUAUUAUCUAUUAGUUACAAAUUUUAAUUGUCAUUUACGCUCUAUUUUGUAUAAAUGAAGUCAAAAUGUUAAAUUCAUUGUAUAUGAUUUUUUCAUGUUUAGAAUAAAUUAAAAAAUGAAAAUUUAUUUAUUUUUAUUUCUAAAAUACUCUAGCCAUAAUAAUGUUAGAAGGCUAGGAGGAUGAAAAGUUUUGGUUAUAAAAUAUUAGGUUGAUUAAUUUUAUGGAAUUCAUUUAGAAAUUUUACAUUUUUCUUGUAAAAUUUUAUAAAUUUUAAUUUAGUUAUAUUCAAAUACAUAGAAUUGAAUUCGUAUAAUUAAUUCUUCAUUCUUUUUCAUACCAAACACAAAAAUUUAAAUUUAUAAUUAAAUUCUAACAAGUUUUUUAGAAUUCAUUUAUUCCAAACAAGACUUAUAAGUCCAAUUAUAUACAAAUCAACCGCAAAUAUAUUCAAAUCCAAUUAAUACAAACUUAGACUACAAUCAAAUACGGAUAUGUAGGAACUAUUAGAAAAAUCUUUGAAUUAAUAAUAUAUAUUUGAUCUACUACUUUGUAGCAUAAACAGAAAUAUAAUAUCUUAAUUUUGAGAAGAUAUUAUCUCUAAUAAAACUUCAAAAUAAUCGUUGUCUUCAAACUAAAUUAUGGGCUUAUUUUAAAUCAUUAAAAAAAAUUUAAAACUUUACAGGUAAUUUUAAUUAUACGUUAAAUUCAAUUUUCUUCUCUUACUAUUCUGAACUUCAAUUUUAAUUAUAAUAGCACCCUAAUUUUAAAUUGUAUCUAAUUUAAUGAGUAAAAUAAACAUGAAUUUUUAAUUAUGGUUUAUUGAAAUUAUAAUUAAGCUAGAUCUCUUAUACAAAUAAGUUUUAUUCAUUACAGCAUAAUUUUAUUUUUAGGGAAUCAUUACUUGUUAAUAUUAUACAAAUAAAACAAAAAAAAAAAGUAGUUUUUAGGUGAAUAUAUUAUUUUUUAUUUUAAUAUUGGGUACAAAAUAAUAUUUCUUUGAAGGCAAUUGAAAAUAAUAUUUAUUCACUAAAUUGGAUAUAAUUUGAAAUUAUGGUGCUAUUGUAACUAAAAUUGAAAUUUAGAAUACUAGAAGUAGAAAAUUAGAUUUAAAGUAAUUAAAAUUACCUAUAAAAUUUGAAGUUUUUUUAAUGAUUUAGCCCUUAAAAUACUUGGACUUUGAUUUUGUAACAUUAAAAGUGAAUUUGACCACAAUCCGGUGAUGAAAGACACCGGAAAACUGAUGUGGCAAGCAUCAUUUAAAAAAAUAAUUUUUUAUUUCACGUCAUCCUGCUCAAAGUUUUUUGUGUUCAUUUUUUCUAUUUUGUAAGACCUCCAUCUCUCUUCUUCCAAUCGAGGCUUUUCGAUCUUCAUCUCCGUAUAUAAACCCAUAGAUCAAUAAUCAAUUCAUCAAACAACCCAAAAUCAAAACAAACCUCUUUUCAAUUUCCUUCUAUUUAUGAAUUUAAACGACACAAACCCAAGUUUUACAAUUCUCAAUAUGCUAUCAAAAUUAAAAUUAAAAUCAUAUCCAGUAAAUAUUCUUUGCAAAAACACCUUAGAAUUCAAACAAAACGUAGAAAUAAUAAUAUUCAGGUUUCUAAAUUACAUACCUGAAAUUCUCUUUCUCUCUGUACUAGCUCAGAUCCUUAACAUUUAUUUUUUAAUCGAAAUUCCUGCUUGACCACUGUGAAGGGGAUGAGAGAAAAAAAAAAAAAAAACACCUUUUUAAUUGAAUAAAAUGAUCUCUUGUUCAAACCGAAACUUUAUAACAUCGGCAAAUGGUACUUUUUUUUGUACAGCUAACUUAAGCAAACUGGAAUUUUCUCUCACAAAAAAGAAGUCUUUUAUAGGUGAAAAGCAAUUCAUGGAUGGUUAUUAAGGCUUGUGGAGAGUGCAAAUGGCUUGUUGUUUGUUGGUUAUUUAUAAAAUAAGAAAAUAAGGGAGAGAGCAAAGAUCGAAAGAAGAAAAGAAAAAUAGCCAUUGAAGAGAAAAAUGAGAUAUGGAAGAUCAUUUAGAAGAAAGAGAAAAUGGGCACAAGUUCCAUCUCCCGAGACUUUGACGCCGAAUAAAAAUUUAUCUUUUUUAGAUCAUUCUUCCUCUAUCAAUUUUUCGGUGUCUUUUAUUACCAGAUUAUGAAAAUGAUAUUUUUAAUAUUAUAAAAUCAAAGUCCGAAAAAAUUUUAAGCGACAAAUUAAAAAUUUGAAACUAUAAAAUGAUAUCUCUCUAACUUGACAAAUCAUGGGUAAAAAUAAACCUUAAAUUAUGAGAUUUUGUUAGAGAUAAUUUCACUUAAAAAUCAACAUUUUGUUGUAACUAUAGUAACAUGCAAUAUAAUAUUAAGAUAAACAUUAAAAAUAAUAAUAAAAAGAUCGUAAAUAUAUUGGCCUACUUCUAGAAAGAAUAGAGAAAAAAAAUAAAUAAAAUUUCUUAAGUUAAAUUUGUCAGAAUUUAAGGCAGGCGAAGACAUUAUUGAAAUAGUCAAAAAAACAAUGAAAAUGAACCUUCCAAAUCCAAUUCUUGCAAUUCCCCAUUGGCUAUGCGUUUGGUAGCUCUUCAAAAAGUCUUUCUCAGCUUCAGUAUUCUUCUAGGUAAACAAAACCCGGUCUAGGUCCAUCCAUGUGCUAGACCAAUGGAAAAUAUUAAAAAAAAAAAAAAAAGAAAUGAAGCGCUAUAAUUGGUUUGGCUCGUGAGUGGCUAAAGCGUAAGGAUUAAACUUACCUAAUCUAUAGAUUAGGUCCAUAUAUCAAACUAAUAAAGGAGAUUUUUUAAAUAUUCUUCUCAUCUUUUUUUUUUUUUCUUUCGGGUGAAUAGUCAAAAAUAGAUUCAUUUGUCUCGUCUGGAUCCAUGAUCCUAUAUAUAGAUCAAAUCAAUAAAAAUAAAAAUUUUUAUCGAAAUCAUGAUAUUUUUACUAUAAGCUGAGAAGAAAAGGAUAAUAUAAAAACAAUUUUAAAAAUUUUUUGUUUUUAUAAGUUUAAUUCAUAGAUAGAGUUAUAGAUCCAAUCAAAACAAAUAUAGUCCCGUCAAAGAUACUUAUUCUUUAAACAAUUAACUAUUAUUUAUUGAUUUAGUUCAUUAGCAGACCAAUAGACGGGAUUUAGCCAAAUCAAUCCAAAGCUUAGCCGUCUCAUUUGCAUUCUCACUGAAAUAAAAUAUAGUCAAACACAUACAGCCAGAUCAACCCUUUUGCUUGCUAUAAAGCAAAUCCAAUAUUUCCCUUCAAUCUUUCACAGGCAAUGCGUUUGGCGACUCUCAACAAAUUCCCACCUUCUAUAUUCUUUCAGGUACACAAAACCUUCUAACGGUCUUCUCAAUUCUUUCUUUGCUUUCAGUUUCUUGAUCUCUUUUAACACAAUUCUUGAUUGGAGUUUCCAUUUCAGAAAGCUAGCAGAUACCCAAGAAUCAUGAGCCAGUCAGCCAGCAACAGCAGCGGGAAGAAGCAGAUUAGAAUUGAUAUCAGCUCAGACACUAUAUGCAUGUGGUGCUUUGUUGGCAAACGAAAUUUAGACAAAGCUAUAUCUACUGCUAAAGAUAGAUAUAACUUCGAGGUCUCACAAUUCUAUCUUUUUCUCAUUAUGUUAUGUUAUAAUAUAUUUUUCAUUUCUAACUUAGAACAGUUCUAAUUUGCAGAUUAGAUGGCAUCCUUUUUUUCUUGAUCCAUCUGCCCCUAAAGAAGGCACAAAGAUUAUGACUCUUUUCGGUCAAAGAUUUGGGUCUCGAACUGAUGCAGUUCUAAAUCAACUCAGAGAGGUUAAUUUCCUUCUUAAUUUGUUAAUUAUCUAUACAAUAAUGACCUUGGAAUUUGACUUUUAUUUAAUUAAGCUAUUAUGAUAAUUACAUUCAGACUCUUAGAGAUGUUGGUCUGGAAUUCAACAUAUGUGAUCUCAUGUAAGUUUUUUUUUUUUUUUGUAAUUAAGCUUUUUAAUAAUGUUAGUAUAUAUUGCUUCCGGCGUCAAAUAAAUUAAUCUCUUGUUUAAUCGUUAAAAAAAAUAUUAUUCGUAUAUAGUCCGCUGCUUUAUAAGAAAAUAUGCUAAAGGGGUUUAUUUGAUGAAUUAACUUGGUCUUGGUCAUGCACAGUGGCAAUACCUUAGACAGCCACAGGCUUAUACAUUUUGCUGGCCAGCAAGGUCUUGACAAGCAACAUAAUCUUGCAGAGGAAUUGUUCCUUGGUUACUUCACGAAGGCUAAAUACAUUGGCGACAGGUAAAUAGUUAAACUUUUUUGUCAUUCAGACUUGUGAUUUAAUUGGUUUUCUCAUUAAUAUGGAGGGUGGGAAGUAUCAAGCUUGAGUUUUCUUGAAUCCCAUCACGGCGAAUUCGGUAACAUUGAUGAAUUGAUGCAGGGAAUUUCUCUUGGAAUGUGCUGAAAAAGUUGGAGUAGAGGGGGCUGCAGAAUUCCUUCAAGAUCCCAAUAAUGGUGUGAAGGAGGUAUAUGAGGACCUCCACAAGUAUUCAGCAGGCCUCACAGGAGUCCCAAA